CGCCACAGUGCUUUCCCCUCACAGUGCACAAUUUGCCAAUGAGUUCAAAGUGUCUCCGUAACUUCAUGCCAUUUCUUCUGCUAGAAGCCAAGCCAGUCUCCUCACCUGAAAAAUGGGAAGAGCAAAAUAUCCUACCCUAGAGGGUUGCUGUGAGAGCCGAAAGCGUCUAUCCACGUGAAGCACAUGGGACAGAGCCUGGCACAAAGAAAAUGCUUCCCAGCUCCAUCAGCCCACCGCCCCCUCUGGCCUUCCCUCAAGAGCAGCCACUGGGCCUUGGUUGCCAUGGAGACAGUUUCCCUCAGAGGCUUUGCCUCCCAUCUUCUUUUCUUUUCUUUUCUUUUUUCUUUUUUUUUAAUUUGAGACAAGAUCUCGCUUUGUCACCCGGCCU
Molecule: long non-coding RNA, 388 nt
Filed under: Homo sapiens (human)
Lineage: Eukaryota; Metazoa; Chordata; Mammalia; Primates; Hominidae
Description: HSALNT0349692
Source: RNAcentral